GGCAUUUAUUAUAGAUUUAGAGCUAAGGAAAAAGCUUUAAAUAUACAUUAUGUCCAUAGAUACUUUUCUUUUGGAAUGCCUUAAACAUUGCUUUUCCAACACUGUCCUCUGGGCAUUUCAACGUAUAGAACUGCUCUGCCAUAGACGACACAACCAGAAUAUAUUAAAAAGUCUUCCAGCUAUACAGCACAGCAGGUGAAAGAGAUGCUCCCUUUUGGACUCCAAUAAACCGAAUGGCCCUGGGGGCCGCGUUUCAUCAAACUCAAAAAAGUCAAAGAAUCGCCAGGAGGAUGGGCUACAGCUGCCGUUUGAUUUGGAUGGCUUUGGCACGUGCAGCGGGCACAGCUGUGGAGGGGGGCUGCGGACGGGUUCCAGGCAAUCGCAUAUACGCGAUUUAUAUGGAAGCCCAGUGCUCUGUUAUUGCAAUAUUGGUAAAAGCCGGCGAUGAUGACACGACUUCAGCGCGAGCAACGCGAGCAGCUUCAACUCAAUUAUCAAACUUUGGAUGCCAAUGCCAGUUAGCUCUACCAUCGACCGGCUGGCCGGCUGGCCGCCUGGCUGACUGGCUGACUGACGCCUCGUUUCAGUUCAGCAAUUCACUCAUCCAGGCAGCCUCCGGUACUCACACGUGCAGGCAUAUUUUUCGAAUAAACAAGCACCGUGCCAGGAGUCCGUGAAUGCGUCCAUGUCGCGGUGUCAGGGAGUGCGAAGUAGAGCUGGUAGAGUCGGGCGUUCGCACAAACGGCAAACGGAAAUGGAUUUUUGAUUGAGUGCACAAUAAAAUGUGAAAUGCAUUUUACAGCUGAAAAACAAGCAACACACACACUCACACACAUAGCAUGGAAUGAAAUUGAAGUUUAGCCAUAUACGAGUACAGCCAAUACUUAUUCAUAUAUCAACAAAUAUAUAUAUAUAUAUACAUUUUA
Long non-coding RNA from Drosophila mojavensis, 926 nucleotides. RefSeq lists it as uncharacterized. The record is from RefSeq and is a predicted model, not a curated record. The transcript has 2 exons. NCBI's taxonomy places the organism in Eukaryota, Metazoa, Arthropoda, Insecta, Diptera, Drosophilidae.